AAAUGUCUACACGUGCAUUUUAAAUAGUUGCAAUCACUAUAUAACCAGUACACAUAAUAAUUCAAGAUGUCUGCAGUUACGAGUUGACUGCACUACAACUUCUGAAAAGGUGCAAUGACAAUUCUCAUCAUCAUCAAGUUACGGUCUCAGUUCUUUCAUGCUGCCGUUUUGUGCGCCCCAGCACCUCCUCAUCACCACCCAGUCUUCACAGAUUCGUCAGUGCAUCACUUCAUCAACUUCAUCAGCCUCAGCAGAAGUCAUCAGCCACCACCACCACCAGCCUGGACUCCAAGGGGGGAUCUAUCUUGCUGCUGCUCAGGACUGAUGUCCUUCUAUUCAAAAUCUCCCUGUAGAGUCUUUGUCUAAAGA
Long non-coding RNA from Thunnus maccoyii (southern bluefin tuna), 369 nucleotides. RefSeq lists it as uncharacterized. NCBI's taxonomy places the organism in Eukaryota, Metazoa, Chordata, Actinopteri, Scombriformes, Scombridae. The record is from RefSeq and is a predicted model, not a curated record. The transcript is spliced from 3 exons.